UCGGUGGCCAGGACCUGGGCAGUGUGAAUGCCACUGAAAAUCAGCUUGCGUGCUGCCUUCGGCAUGCGUGCCAUAGGUUCCCUACCCCUGUGCUAACCCAUUCUCUUCUGAUCACCAAACUGAAAGCACAGUAUUAGAGAACCUCCUGGGUUUGCAAUGGAAAGUAAGCCAAUCAAGCUUUUUUCAAAGUGAGCUGCUUCAUGGUCAUGGGAGCGCAGCCAAAUUUUGGUGAAUUUCUGAUGUAAAGCAAGUAAAACUGUGGACUUCAGCAAAAGCACCAAAAAUGACCACACAUACUAGCAGAUCUGCACAUUGUCUGGACAGGUGAUCAAUGCAGGGAGCGCAUUAAGAGGCUGAAGAGCGAGUAGCAGAAGACCAGGGACAAGAACCACACCUUGGGCAAUUGUUCAACAACAUGCCCACUUUAUGAUGACUUUGACAAGGUUCUGGGCACUGUGCCCAACACAGAGCCAACCAUAUUUCAUGAAGAUCUUGUCAGUCAGGAUGGUGCCCUCUUGGUCACUGAAUCCAGCAUGGAGACUGAUGGGAGCCAGCAUUAGGCUCCCAGUAAGGAGCAUGAAGUGACUCUUUUAAUGAAAUCAUCCCGAGAGCAGGCUGUGGAUCAGGAUCGACAGCAAAUUCUUGGUCCCUACUUAGAAGAACUGUUUGAUUCCCCCCACCCUCAAGGAACAGCCCUUUGCCGAAUCUAUAGAAAACUUGGUGGAGAAAGAAGCCACCCCAGAGCCCGGUAAGUGUAUGACUGAAAUGUACAGUUUAUUACAGUACUGGGAGGGAUUUCUGCUGUAAGAAGCAAUGCAAAAAUGAUAAGCCCCGGCUAGCAGUGUGCAGCCACCAAUGGCAGAUUGUAUCACAGUGCCUUGGUGUCUCCACUCCCACCCCUAUGUGGAGUUCAAAAUGACAACUUGGAAUUUCAAACUUCAUAAACAGCUGUUAUUUUAACUGUUAAGUCACAGAUGUUUGGUAGGGUCACUCAUGUUUGCCUUUCAGUAAUAAAUUUGCCACUCUGUAAUCACUCCUCCGGGGUCCAUGGAGCAGCCUUUAAACAGUGAACUGAGUGUGUUGUAUUUGGGAAACAGUAUUCUAUUUCCAAAUUUAGUCCAUUUCAGCUAGAGGUAAUCCAUGCAGUAUGUGGGUCACAAAAUCAUUUCUCCAAAGUAUGAGUGGGCUGCCAGUUUUUCCCCAGAACUAUGCCGGGUGCGGGGUGGAGGAAAGCUGCAAAUUUCAGAAUGUUCGCGUGCAGCAAUAACAGAGUAAGCCAUAUGUGAGCUAACACAGCAUCAUAUUAAUUCCCUCAUGGCUUAUGACCCAAUCUUGGCUGCUGAUAGCUGCAAACUUUUUGUGAAGCAGGACUCCAGAUAGUCAAUCACAUUGCAGGGAAAGGUGUAUUUUCUAGCCCCCCCCCCCCCUCCCUUGUAUAGCUGACUAGUCCACUCCAAGAACAGAUUUGCUGUUUGGUCACUAUACAUUUGAAUACUUCAGCCGCAUACACUGCAGGUUUCCCUCCAGGUGCUUGGAGUAACAUCUCCCUCUGCCAACAGGGUACAACAAGAACAGUUGUCUUUCACAAUAUGGAAGGCCUGAAAUGACAGAAAAAGCCUUUUGCAGCAAGGGCACUAUAUACACCAGCCUUCUGCCCCCCAUGGAAAUUAAGACAAUUUUAUGAAACACAAAAAAGGGAACUCGAUCUCUGGCUCAACGUACCUUCACAUUCCAAAAGGAAGUGUUGUUGUUCUUGAGAGGACAGACCAGCAAGUCCAGUACCAGAAGAAGAGUGACAAAAGACUGGAACAAUGGCAUGUUGACAGGCAGGAGGACAGGCUGAGGUUUGCUGUCCAGGUGGAGGACAGGUUUCAACUAGGGAGCAGGCACUUGCAAAGCAGUGCCUGGCAUAGGAAUGGCAGCUAAGAGAGGAGGACAAUGCUCAACAGAGAGAACUGUUUCAGCAACUCCUGUCCAUACUGGCUGAAGAGUAUUAUCUCCAGCUGCCUCUCCAACUCCAUGGCAUGAUGUUCCUGCAACAUACCCUCAGUCCAGCAGUAACUUAGAUAAUUCUGUCGGGUGGCCUAUGCAUUCAGGACUCGUGAGUGGCUGGGCAGGACAACUAAACCCUGUGCAGCCUUCCUUCACCAAUCCCCCCUCUGGAGGAAACCUCCACCACCGCUGCCACCUUCAACCCGUCUGGUGGAAAUCUUCCUCUCUCCCCUCCUCCCCCCACCCCCCCACCACCACCACCCACCCACACACACCACCACCAAGUGAGGGGGAAAUGUGUAAAGAAGGGACAGGAGAAUGUUGGGCCAGGGAACAUGUAGUGAUAGGGGGAUUAUGUCAUGUAUUAACUAUUUCCUGCCCUUUUGGGUGUGUGGUUUUGGAAUGGCAGCUGGCCUGCCCAACGCUGUGUGUUUUACUAUUUUAGAACAUGUUUACAAAUAAAGCAUGUUAUAUUUUCGA
Chrysemys picta bellii (western painted turtle) is the source of this 2472-nucleotide non-coding RNA. The record is from RefSeq and is a predicted model, not a curated record. Lineage: Eukaryota; Metazoa; Chordata; Testudines; Emydidae.